CGCACCUUGCGCUCUUGGGUUAUUCCUUAGAGCAUGCUUGUUUGAGUGUCGCGUACCUUCUCAAUCCCGCCCUUUUUUGCGAAAGGGUAGUCAUUUAGAGAAAUUUAAAUGAGUCAGGGUUGGAUCAUGACGUCUUGUCACUUUCAACUUUUUGAAAGGUAGACUGCGUUGAAAUACAAAAAGCUGUAUCCUAGAUUUGGCGGCUUGACCUAUUGUCAUAAGUUUAAAUACCUUUCAAUGGGAACGCUAGUCGGAAUGAGCUUAUCAUAAAAUUGAUAAUUAUAAACAUUGACCUCAAAUCAAGUAGGACUACCCGCUGAACUUAA
Molecule: unclassified non-coding RNA, 326 nt
Filed under: Cystobasidiopsis lophatheri
Lineage: Eukaryota; Fungi; Basidiomycota; Agaricostilbomycetes; Agaricostilbales; Chionosphaeraceae
Description: partial contains 5.8S ribosomal RNA, internal transcribed spacer 2, and large subunit ribosomal RNA
Source: RNAcentral